Molecule: non-coding RNA, 73 nt
Organism: Trichonephila clavata
Lineage: Eukaryota; Metazoa; Arthropoda; Arachnida; Araneae; Nephilidae
Source: the annotation of a GenBank genome assembly
GUCCCUGUAGAGCAAUAGAUAGCUCGUUGGUUUUUUAAUCCAAAAGAAGUGGGUUCGAAACCCACCUGCGAUG